RNAcentral lists this unclassified non-coding RNA (2543 nucleotides) under Leishmania donovani. RNAcentral's name for it is "gene:LdHU3.35.4400(CDS-product:WD_domain_G-beta_r epeat_putative)". Lineage: Eukaryota; Euglenozoa; Kinetoplastea; Trypanosomatida; Trypanosomatidae. The record is from RNAcentral.
GCGGCGGCUCAUCAGCGGUCUGCCGAGGCUCUUCCGCUCGUAGACGAGAACGCUACUGUGAGCCAGCGGUCACCGUCUCACUGCUCUCUGGUCGGUGUGGUCAUCGACGGUGGGCGAACGCUUCCUCGCCCGUGAAAGGCCCAGGCGUGAGUCUUUUCUCUCUUUAUUUUUUGUUUUCUACUCUUGUGCUCCGGAGUGGAAGCGCGGCUACACACACCCACACAACGGCACGAACGCACGAACGCCCUGCGAAGUGCAGGCCGGGGGGACAUGAGUGCAACAGCGCCGAUACAAUACACCGUCCCUUCCUCCUUGUUUUUUCUUUCUAAGAUCCACCAUGAGCUGCGUCGCCUCCGCCUUUGAUUCCUUCCGCUGCGCGUAUCGUGGUGUCAACGAUUCUGUCAACGACGUCGACGUCGACCCGAGCGGUGGCUGCCUCUAUGCGGCGUGCAGUAGUGGGGAUGUCUGCGUGUGGAACAUUCAAACGCAGAAGCUGCGGGUGCGACUACGCCAUCCACAGUGGGUGAAUGCUGUUCGAUGCUUUCCGAUGUGCAACUCGGCCGCCUCGAGCGCGACGUCGCUGCAGCCUCCGCCGGCGGCGAACCCAGCAGCAGCGGCAGCCGGCAGGGCAGACUGUGAUGCCCUUAACGCUGACCUCGUCGUCAGCCACGAUAUACGCUGGGUGCUGACCGGCACCGAGGACGGCGUGAUUGCUGUCUGGUGCCCAGUGACGUAUCGCAUGCAGAGCAUAUGCAGGCCUGGCCGCGCUGCCAUCACAGCCCUGCAGCUCAUCCCUGAAACGUCGCCAUGCGCUGCGGAAAAGGCGAACGCAUCGAAGAUGGAGCACUGCACGACUGGUGCGCGAUUCAGGCGAGCAUCUACGAAAGUCAACGAUGGGCCUGCCAUCUGCUGCGCGGCCUCUCUGCGUGACGUAUACGUGCUCCGCGUCACGACCGCUUCGUCGGAACUCGCGCUGCUGUAUGCGUUCCAGCACCAGGGUCUUAUCACGGCCCUCACCUAUGUUGCCCCUUCUAUGUCUCUCUCGACGCCGCUGCUUGUAGUGGGGCAAGAGGAGGGCACUCUUUGCGUGUGGAACUGCGCCACAUGGGCUUAUCACGACACGAUGCCUUAUCCCACAGGCGAGGCCGACGUGACAGCCGACGCACGCGAUGAUCCUACGUCGGUGCAUGAGCCGGUGUACCGGCUCGGUCGUGUGUUCAAGACGUUUCUCUACAAUCGCAGGCGGUGCAAUCCAUUGAGCGAUCAGGCAGCCGUCGAGGAGGAGGCAGCUGCGGCAGCGCCAGUGGAUUCGCCGGACUACAUUGGAGUGGUGCCAGCCUCGGUGUCAGCGGAAGCCAUUGAUGUGCUGGAAAGAAAAUGCGGCAUCCUUCCGUACAGCGCAAAACAGGCGUUUGUAGAGCAGCAGCAGCAGCAGCAGGAACCGGAUGAUACGCGGUUCCCUGCUGCGCUGAGAGUCUGGAGGUACGACAAGCGCCGCGUUACAUGCCUGGCAGCGAGCCCCAAUCCCACAAGCAGCAAUCCAAACUCGUACCUCUACUCGGGUCACGCAACAGGGGAGGUGCUACUCUGGGGAUCAGUCCGGCAAGAAAUGCCUUUGCUGCUCUUACUCAAAAAAAUUAUUCUCUUCAAGCCAGGUGUGUGGGUUUGGAAUCUGUGUGCCGUAGCCACGCUGCACACCAGUGCGUCUCAGCCAUUCGAGCAGAGGCGCGGUGCCAAGGCUGCCGCUAAAUUGCUAUCGCGACUGGAAAAAAAUAAAGCGAACGAAGGAGCGAGGAGGAAGGCGGCGACGCCGACACCCACUCGCCACGCGCGUGCAGGGGCGCCCUCUCCGCUCGAGACGACGCAUGUGUCACCUCUUGAGCUGAUUGUCUGGUCGGACGGCGGGGCGGUGGAGUACGUCAGUACCCGCAAGCGUCACGUGCUGCAUCGCCAAGGUCCCGGUUUCGUCUGUGCGGCGGCUUGUGCCUGGAGUGGUCCGACGAUUACGCCCCUGCCAGCAGCUGAGCCGGUGAACACGUUCGACAAUGGCCGCGCCGGCGCUGCCACGUCGUCAACUGAGGCGGCCUCUAAGCGGAGCGGUGGUGCUGCUCGAGGGAGCAGAUCCGCCAGCGCUUUUUCGGCACGCCAGUAUCUCGUGAUGGCCGGAUUUGACGGCAGGUUGGAGCGGUAUGACGUUACCGAGGUGCUUGAGCUGGUAAAGAGUUCUGGCAAACUGGUUUGAUAGCGCGGAGGAGGGCAGCUCGAAGCGGAGCCGGACUAACGCGUGGGUACUGCUGCUGGUUGGUGGUGGUAGGGAUGGAGAAAGAGAAGUGAGGGCAUCGAGCUCCCCGCUUCCCUUCUCUCUCUUUCUCUCACGGGGCGUCUGCCGUCUGCUCUUCCCUCCACUUGCGCUCUCUCUCACUCUUUGUGCCGCUCUGCGCUGUGAUGUGGAAUAGUGGAACAUCGCCACCGUUCGUGUGCGUCUUUUCGUUUUCGUUUUCUCUUGAAUUUCUUUUUCUUGCACAUCCACAUCGGCUGGCUUC